RNAcentral lists this small RNA (148 nucleotides) under Pseudomonas fluorescens. RNAcentral's name for it is "PrrF RNA". It matches the Rfam family "PrrF RNA". From Rfam's summary of the family: PrrF RNA is a small RNA involved in iron homeostasis and is found exclusively in Pseudomonas species. Their expression is induced under iron limitation by the ferric uptake regulator (Fur) and they act to negatively regulate several genes including sodB and sdh. Lineage: Bacteria; Pseudomonadati; Pseudomonadota; Gammaproteobacteria; Pseudomonadales; Pseudomonadaceae. RNAcentral also lists the same sequence under 11 other names. The record is from RNAcentral.
UUGACUCUCAAAUGAGAAUCGUUAUGAUUAUCACAACUGGUCGCGAGAUCAGCCGAUAACUGAAAGACCAUUGGUUCGGACUCUCAGAUUAUCUCCUCAUCAGGCUAAUCACGGUUAUUUGACCCGGCUCUUGCCGGGUCUUUUUUUG